UGGAUCGACCUCAGAUUCACCAAGAUAUAUUAUAACUAAGCACUCUUAUACUUGAGAGUUAAUCAAACACUUUUAAAUCGUGCCAUAAAUUUUCAGACCUAGGAUUUUAAAAAAUGUCAUAGGCACGAAUACAAGCCCAAAACAAUUAGAAUUUGCGACAAAGCCACCAACAAUCGAUACAGUUCACUACACCAACAAUGUCCUAUGUCCAUUUUUAAGCUUGAAUAAAACAAGGCGGCACAAUUAACCUUUGAUCUAAGCGACAAUUGAUUGGCAUUAAAAAGUGUCAUUUAAUAACGAUAAAAUUAUUAGUUUUUUACUUAUUAUGUCGAUUAAUGUGCUCAUUACUUAUAAAU
RNAcentral lists this long non-coding RNA (356 nucleotides) under Citrus x clementina. RNAcentral's name for it is "Citrus clementina (C. clementina) long non-coding RNA (CCLE_LNC000462)". Lineage: Eukaryota; Viridiplantae; Streptophyta; Magnoliopsida; Sapindales; Rutaceae. The record is from RNAcentral.